GUGCUUGCUUCAGCAGCACAUAUACUAAAAUUCGAAUGAUACAGAGAAGAUUAGCAUAGCCGCAGCACAAGGAUGACACGCAGGUUCAUGAUGCGUUCCAAAUUUAA
This is a small nuclear RNA of Suncus etruscus (white-toothed pygmy shrew), 107 nucleotides long. The record is from RefSeq and is a predicted model, not a curated record. Lineage: Eukaryota; Metazoa; Chordata; Mammalia; Eulipotyphla; Soricidae.